GACGAACGCUGGCGGCGUGCUUAACACAUGCAAGUCGAACGGAAAGGCCCUGCUUUUGUGGGGUGCUCGAGUGGCGAACGGGUGAGUAACACGUGAGUAACCUGCCCUUGACUUUGGGAUAACUUCAGGAAACUGGGGCUAAUACCGGAUAGGAGCUCCUGCUGCAUGGUGGGGGUUGGAAAGUUUCGGCGGUUGGGGAUGGACUCGCGGCUUAUCAGCUUGUUGGUGGGGUAGUGGCUUACCAAGGCUUUGACGGGUAGCCGGCCUGAGAGGGUGACCGGCGACAUUGGGACUGAGAUACGGCCCAGACUCCUACGGGAGGCAGCAGUGGGGAAUAUUGCACAAUGGGCGGAAGCCUGAUGCAGCGACGCCGCGUGCGGGAUGACGGCCUGCGGGUUGUAAACCGCUUUCGCCUGUGACGAAGCGUGAGUGACGGUAAUGGGUAAAGAAGCACCGGCUAACUACGUG
This 468-nucleotide ribosomal RNA is filed under the name uncultured bacterium. RNAcentral describes it as "partial 16S ribosomal RNA". It matches the Rfam family "Bacterial small subunit ribosomal RNA", at positions 28 to 507 of the family's 1533-position model. The record is from RNAcentral.